AGCAGCCGCGGUAAUUCCAGCUCCAAUAGCGUAUAUUAAAGUUGUUGCAGUUAAAAAGCUCGUAGUUGAAUUUCAGGAUUGACACAUCGGUCGUGCCUUAAGGGGUAUGAACUGGUGUAGUCAAUUUCUCACCUUCUGGAGAACCGCGAUGCCCUUAAUUGGGUGUCACGGGGAACCAGGACCUUUACUUUGAAAAAAUUUAGAGUGUUUAAAGCAGGCAUUUUGCUUGAAUACAUUAGCAUGGAAUAAUAAAAUAGGACGGCAUGAUUCUAUUUUGUUGGUUUCUAGGAUCACCGUAAUGAUUAAUAGGGAUAGUUGGGGGGCAUUAGUAUUCAAUUGUCAGAGGUGAAAUUCUUGGAUUUAUUGAAGACUAACUACUGCGAAAGCAUUUGCCAAGGAUGUUUUCAUUAAUCAAGAACGAAAGUUAGGGGAUCGAAGACGAUCAGAUACCGUCGUAGUCUUAACCAUAAACUAUGCCGACUAGGAAUCAGACGAUGUUAAUUUUUUAAUGACUCGUUUG
This 520-nucleotide ribosomal RNA is filed under the name uncultured Entrophospora. Its description in RNAcentral is "SSU rRNA". It matches the Rfam family "Eukaryotic small subunit ribosomal RNA", at positions 569 to 1082 of the family's 1831-position model. Lineage: Eukaryota; Fungi; Glomeromycota; Glomeromycetes; Entrophosporales; Entrophosporaceae. The record is from RNAcentral.